This 301-nucleotide ribosomal RNA is filed under the name uncultured bacterium. RNAcentral describes it as "partial 16S ribosomal RNA". It matches the Rfam family "Bacterial small subunit ribosomal RNA", at positions 509 to 807 of the family's 1533-position model. The record is from RNAcentral.
CAGCCGCCGCGGUAAUACGAAGGGUGCAAGCGUUACUCGGAAUUACUGGGCGUAAAGCGUGCGUAGGUGGUGGUUUAAGUCCGUUGUGAAAGCCCUGGGCUCAACCUGGGAAUUGCAGUGGAUACUGGGUCACUAGAGUGUGUCAGAGGAUGGUGGAAUUCCCGGUGUAGCGGUGAAAUGCGUAGAGAUCGGGAGGAACAUCAGUGGCGAAGGCGGCCAUCUGGGACAACACUGACGCUGAGGCACGAAAGCGUGGGGAGCAAACAGGAUUAGAUACCCCCGUAGUCCCUGUCUCUUAUAC